AAUCAACGCUGGCGGCGUGCCUCAGACAUGCAAGUCGAACGCGAAAGUCCCCUUCGGGGGACAAGUAGAGUGGCGCACGGGUGAGUAACACGUAGGUAAUCUACCUGUCGGAUGGGGAAUAACAACCGGAAACGGUUGCUAAUACCGCAUAAUGCAGCGGCACCUAAUGGUGACAGUUGUUAAAGCGGGGGAUUGAAAGACCUCGCGUCUGAAGAGGAGCCUGCGGCGGAUUAGCUUGNGGUAGGGUAACGGCCUACCAAGGCGACGAUCCGUAGCCGGCCUGAGAGGGCGGUCGGCCACACUGACACUGACAUACGGGUCAGACUCCUACGGGAGGCAGCAGUCGGGAAUUUUGGGCAAUGGGCGAAAGCCUGACCCAGCAACGCCGCGUGAAGGAUGAAAUCCCUCGGGAUGUAAACUUCGCAAGAACGGGAAGAAUAAGUA
This 444-nucleotide ribosomal RNA is filed under the name uncultured bacterium. Its description in RNAcentral is "bacterial SSU rRNA". It matches the Rfam family "Bacterial small subunit ribosomal RNA", at positions 32 to 455 of the family's 1533-position model. The record is from RNAcentral.